RNAcentral lists this long non-coding RNA (284 nucleotides) under Volvox carteri. Its description in RNAcentral is "long non-coding RNA (VCAR_LNC004103)". The record is from RNAcentral. Lineage: Eukaryota; Viridiplantae; Chlorophyta; Chlorophyceae; Chlamydomonadales; Volvocaceae.
UCCUUGACUGCAGGGCGCUCCAAGGAACAUCGAAAACGCUGCACAGAGCAAGCUUUUUAUAAUAAGCCUUCUGAUGGAACUCGGUGCCUGUUGCCCUCGUAUCGAUGCUGCUGGGCCCAUAGUGCAUGCUAUCAAUACGCAUACUAAAGCCAAAAAUAUUAUUUCAUGGCUUGCAAGUGAUAAGCUCCUUUAUCAAAAGUUCACACAACUCCAGGCAGGGUUUUGCGUACAUUAUAACAUGCUACGGCAAACGUACCGCUGCCCAAGGUGUAAGCAGAAUAUCG